UACGUAGGGGGCAAGCGUUGUCCGGAUUUAUUGGGCGUAAAGAGCGUGUAGGCGGCUGGGUAGGUCCGUUGUGAAAACUCGAGGCUCAACCUCGAGACGCCGAUGGAAACCCUCCAGCUAGAGUCCGGAAGAGGAGAGUGGAAUUCCUGGUGUAGCGGUGAAAUGCGCAGAUAUCAGGAAGAACACCCGUGGCUAAGGCGGCUCUCUAGUACGGUACUGACGCUGAGACGCGAAAGCGUGGGG
This 243-nucleotide ribosomal RNA is filed under the name uncultured bacterium. Its description in RNAcentral is "partial 16S ribosomal RNA". It matches the Rfam family "Bacterial small subunit ribosomal RNA", at positions 524 to 766 of the family's 1533-position model. The record is from RNAcentral.